Drosophila navojoa is the source of this 1340-nucleotide long non-coding RNA. The record is from RefSeq and is a predicted model, not a curated record. Lineage: Eukaryota; Metazoa; Arthropoda; Insecta; Diptera; Drosophilidae.
AUUUUCUACAUCGAACGCAGCAGUUGGGCUUAGUCCGAGGACUUCGUCGUCCCCCAGACAAACCAAAUACAUAAUUUAAUACAAAUUAUACUAUACUUUUGAGUGCCUGUCUUAGGGCCUCCUGCUCUAGGGAUUCAAACUGCGCUUAAGUUUGUUUCCGAGUGACGGCAACGAUUUCGUAGUUUUUUAAAUGCCACACAAACGCAAAAGACACAAAAACUGAAAGGAUUCCGUCGCCCUCGUCAAAAGAAAAUAAAAUUAGAUCCGUGGCGUAGUCGUAUUGUGCCUUACCAAGGAGGAUUCGUUGUGCCAUGACUGUUUCCAAUAUGCACACCAAAUUAAUUAUAUUGAUUUUAUUUUUCUAUAACGGUUCCUACAAUUGGAGUAAAAACUUUUAAAGCGACUAAGCUAAAAACGUUCGACCCUCCCCCUUCCUCCACAGGCGGCGACCGUCUGCGUGGAGUGUGUGUGUGCGUGUGUGCGUGCGUGCUUGUGUGUGUGUUUACCAAGUUAGUGCCGUUAUUGCCUGUGACUGUGUGCGCGUGUGAAAUAAACGUUACCGGAUUCUCGUCUUUUCUCUAAUUAACAAAUCCCUUUUUUGUUUACACAACAAGAAAAAAUAUUGACACGAUUGUACGUAGCAAAACAAACCUCGCGUUAAUCGCUCGUGCUGUUUCCCCCCAUUCUGUCUGUUGGCUUGAAGCCCUGUGGAAUUUUUCAAGCUUUUUUUGCGUCACAUAUUAAGGUAUUUAUGUAUAUAAACACAUACACAUAGACGAGUGCGAGUGUGUGCGAAUAGAGCGAAAAACAAGAGGAGACCAAAGCAAAGGCAAAAGCAACAGCAAAGGCAGCCAGCGAAACUGUGCCAGCCCCGUCGCUGUCCCCUCGCCGAUAUCAAACACAAUAACAAUAGCAAUUGCGAUCGUCUGUCGUCGUCACCCACCCCAAAAAAAGAGACAAAAACAAAAAAGCAACAACCUAGAGCUGUGUAUAUAAACACGCUCGUAUCAGCGAACUGUGUGCAUUCAGCAUUCGACAUCGAAACAAUCGUCGCUAGAAGAGCUCAAUUUUCAGUCGCAUUUCGACACUCGUUGGAAACGGAUCACAAACGGACCGAAGCAUACGCAGGGCCAUCUGUGCGAAAAAAGUAGACAACUGCAAGAGUGCAUAUACUACUUUUAACGGUAUAUGUAGACGCGUAUUAUAAUCUACAUAAAUAUAUCUAUCAAGCGGACAAAGUGUACAAGAAAAUCCACUUCGAUGUCGAUUAAUUCGCCAAUAUUGUUAAAAAACUCUGACCUGUAUUAAACAGGCAAAAGCGAUAAAUACCAAAACAAAAA